RNAcentral lists this ribosomal RNA (776 nucleotides) under uncultured Neocallimastigales. RNAcentral's name for it is "partial large subunit ribosomal RNA". It matches the Rfam family "Eukaryotic large subunit ribosomal RNA", at positions 24 to 647 of the family's 3401-position model. The record is from RNAcentral. Lineage: Eukaryota; Fungi; Neocallimastigomycota; Neocallimastigomycetes; Neocallimastigales.
CGUGUCGCGCAUAUCUGCAUAUCAAUAAGCGGAGGAAAAGAAACUAACAAGGAUUCCCUUAGUAACGGCGAGUGAAGCGGGAAGAGCUCAAAUUUGAAAUCUUCAAGGUUCUACCUUGACGAAUUGUAGUUUAAAGAAGUGUUUUCUGUUAGAUGAGUAGCAAAAGUUCCUUGGAAUGGGACAUCAUAGAGGGUGAGAAUCCCGUAUUUGGUUAUUCAGUUCUAGCUUUGUGAUACACUUUCAAAGAGUCGGAUUGUUUGGGAAUGCAGUCCAAAAUGGGUGGUAAAUUUCAUCUAAAGCUAAAUAUUGGCGAGAGACCGAUAGCGAACAAGUACCGUGAGGGAAAGAUGAAAAGAACUUUGAAAAGAGAGUUAAACAGUACGUGAAAUUGUCAAAAGGGGAAGCGUUUGACACCAGUGUUGUUUUUCCGAAAAUCAAUUACGAAUGGCUUGAUUUUGUGUCGUAUUGACCUUAUCAGCUUUCUUCACUUUUUUCGAGUCUUUCUUAAUGCACUUUUCGGUUAACAAGUCAACAUCAAUUUCUUUUGUUGUAAAAGAGUAUUCGGAAGGUGGCUUUCUUUUCGGAGAAAGUGUUUAUAGCCCUAUACUUCUACAAUCGGAGAGAUUGAGGUCUGCAGCGUAGAUCCUUCGGGGUUAGAUACACUUGUGCUAAGUUGUAGCUUUUCAUAGACAACUUGUUGACUAUGUUUAGUCAUGCGGCUUACUCGCUUGUGCUAUUUUACCUACGCUUAGGAUGUUGACGAUCAGCUGAGCGCG